GGAUUAAGGUAGCCAAGAAGGAGCUUCUAACUUCAUUCUUAAGCAGUGAAAGUCUGUUUUUAAUCCU
Molecule: transfer RNA, 67 nt
Filed under: Xylosandrus germanus
Lineage: Eukaryota; Metazoa; Arthropoda; Insecta; Coleoptera; Curculionidae
Description: tRNA-Ser
Source: RNAcentral